This 524-nucleotide unclassified non-coding RNA is filed under the name uncultured Glomeromycotina. RNAcentral's name for it is "SSU rRNA". It matches the Rfam family "Eukaryotic small subunit ribosomal RNA", at positions 571 to 1092 of the family's 1831-position model. The record is from RNAcentral. Lineage: Eukaryota; Fungi; Glomeromycota.
CAGCCGCGUAAUUCCAGCUCCAAUAGCGUAUAUUAAAGUUGUUGCAGUUAAAAAGCUCGUAGUUGAAUUUCGGGAUUGACACAUCGGUCGUGCCUUAAGGGGUAUGAACUGGUGUAGUCAAUUUCUCACCUUCUGGAGAACCGCAAUGCCCUUAAUUGGGUGUCGCGGGGAACCAGGACCUUUACUUUGAAAAAAUUAGAGUGUUUAAAGCAGGCAUUUUGCUUGAAUACAUUAGCAUGGAAUAAUAAAAUAGGACGGAUGAUUCUAUUUUGUUGGUUUCUAGGACCACCGUAAUGAUUAAUAGGGAUAGUUGGGGGCAUUAGUAUUUAAUUGUCAGAGGUGAAAUUCUUGGAUUUAUUGAAGACUAACUACUGCGAAAGCAUUUGCCAAGGAUGUUUUCAUUAAUCAAGAACGAAAGUUAGGGGAUCGAAGACGAUCAGAUACCGUCGUAGUCUUAACCAUAAACUAUGCCGACUAGGAAUCAGACGAUGUUAAUUUUUUAAUGACUCGUUUGGCACCUUACG